RNAcentral lists this long non-coding RNA (1500 nucleotides) under Corvus moneduloides (New Caledonian crow). RNAcentral describes it as "lncRNA (ENSCMUG00000002976.2)". The record is from RNAcentral. Lineage: Eukaryota; Metazoa; Chordata; Aves; Passeriformes; Corvidae.
AGAAUUUACUCGGGAGCUGUUCCCAUGUGGUAGCUGUUAUUAAUGGAUUGAUUUUUCAGACAAUAGUACGGCUUCUUGCAGAAACCCAAACUCCAAGAACUUACUGUUUCAGCCAAAAGAAAUCUGUAAAAAAAUGUUUUCUUAAAAAAAAAAUUGUUUAUUUUUUAAAUGUGGAAAAUAGAUUUUUUUUUUUUUUCCUUCAAAGUAAAGCCCAAAAAACACCCUUUGGCUCAACUGUCAAAUCUCUGAAGACUGAAAGUUCAGGAAACCUUCCUUUGGACCCAGCUCCCUUCACUGCUGUCUGCCUUUAAGGGAAGCCACCUCAGGCACAAGGACUUUGUGCAUGGAGGCUAAUGAAGUACAGGAAGCCCUGCUCCCCUGGAGUCUUCAGGGACACAAUACUGUCUUCCCCUGGCAGUCAUACAUCAUGGGACAGCUUCCCAGAAAUCACAAGCAGAUUAAACAUUACAGGAUCUUUUCCCUUGCAAUGGCACAGAUUAAGGGUAACAGCACAAAGAGCAAGUGAAUGCAAAGCCUAUAGGAGAGGUCACAGAGCAUCUUGUGCCAGAUGGUGUUGUAGCUCUCCUGAAAGCUACCAGUAUUCUUGCUUUCCUCCUGACAUUUGAUGUUUAAGAGGGACCUCAGUCCAGUCUUCCUGGCCAGCAUCUCCAGUAUGACGGACCCAUGGUGAGCAGUGGGAGAUAUGGCCAUGUGAGAGGUAGGUGGACAUUUUGGCCCAUGGUGUCCAUUUUUCCCACCUGGUGGAUUCCAUGGCUUUCCUGAAUGCUUUGUGUGGUGAUUACAUGAGGUAAGCAAGGGCCUUAUUCACCACCAGCAAAGUCAAAGAAGGAGCCAGAAGAGACUCUGAGGACACAUGCUUUGCUUGUAUAGCUCACAUGCUGUGAUGAAGCCAGUAGAGUGAGGGGAUUUUACAUCUGCAGAGAUUUCUUUUUUCUGCUGAUACUUUCCUUCUUCCAGCACUGCAGUCUCAAAAAUCUUACGGAGAAUUCAGGGGGUUUCACCCCCAUCACCACUGUGAAGUCUAGGGGCUGUUAGGAACCAGGCUUUAACCUCUGGGGGAAAGACAGUCCAUAAGGAACGUGAAAAAUUGAAAAGCAAGAAAAAUCUUUAAGUAACUUUUAAAAACUUAUUCCCCAUUGACUACUCUGCUUCAGAACAUGGUGGCAGGAACCUGGACAUGCAUCUCCAGGAGCUCAGUGAGGGUCUGGUGCAGCCCCUCCCUGGGAGCAGUGAAGGAAAAGAACCAGCCUCCCUUUUCUGGUGUGUCUUGUUAAGAGGAAACCAUAAAUUAUCUGACCGGGUACCUGUGAUACACUCAGCUAUUUCCUCUCCACGCUGAGUUUCCUUACCAACAACUCUCAUUACUCAUGCUGGGCUGCUGGUAAGACAUCUGCUUUCUAACAUCCAAAAGGGAUUUGUUGUGCAGUGCUAAGGAAAGCUUCCUCUGCUGACUUUAGCUGGCUUAAUUAACAGUUUGCG